RNAcentral lists this ribosomal RNA (357 nucleotides) under Triticum aestivum (bread wheat). RNAcentral's name for it is "partial small subunit ribosomal RNA". Lineage: Eukaryota; Viridiplantae; Streptophyta; Magnoliopsida; Poales; Poaceae. The record is from RNAcentral.
AUGCGCACACAACCGGCGACCAACAUCACACAAAGGUCGCCACCGCCGGCGGUGGAAGGACAGUCUUCUCCCGCCGCUAGCCGCAGCCUCCGCCUCGCCCUGAUCCUCGGCCUCCUCGACCGCCGCUCGCUCUCCUCGGAAGCACCUCGCCGCCUCCCUGCCCAUGCCGUGUUCGCCGACUGCCCUGCUCGCGCCGACCUCGCCAAUCUCGCGGCCGCACUUGGCAGUGCUCGACUUGUCCUCGCCGCCUCCAGCGGCGCCGGGUCCUUCCCGUGCCUCUACCGCCUCCUGGACGAGUCAUCCUCUCCCCAAAUCGACACCCGCCCCUUUGUCGAGCCUGUCGUGCCAGCGACAUGA